AAAACGACUCUCGGCAACGGAUAUCUCGGCUCUCGCAUCGAUGAAGAACGUAGCGAAAUGCGAUACUUGGUGUGAAUUGCAGAAUCCCGUGAACCAUCGAGUCUUUGAACGCAAGUUGCGCCCAAAUCCUUCGGGUCGAGGGCACGUCUGCCUGGGUGUCACGC
Molecule: ribosomal RNA, 164 nt
Filed under: Phyllanthus dictyospermus
Lineage: Eukaryota; Viridiplantae; Streptophyta; Magnoliopsida; Malpighiales; Phyllanthaceae
Description: 5.8S ribosomal RNA
Rfam family: 5.8S ribosomal RNA
About the family: 5.8S ribosomal RNA (5.8S rRNA) is a component of the large subunit of the eukaryotic ribosome.
Source: RNAcentral